GACGAACGCUGGCGGCGUGCUUAACACAUGCAAGUCGAACGAUGAAGCCGGAGCUUGCUCUGGUGAAUUAGUGGCGAACGGGUGAGUAACACGUGAGUAACCUGCCCUUGACUCUGGGAUAACUGCGGGAAACUGUAGCUAAUACCGGAUACGACCCUCGGAGGCAUCUCCUGGGGGUGGAAAGAAUUUCGGUCAAGGAUGGACUCGCGGCCUAUCAGCUAGUUGGUGAGGUAAAGGCUCACCAAGGCGACGACGGGUAGCCGGCCUGAGAGGGUGACCGGCCACACUGGGACUGAGACACGGCCCAGACUCCUACGGGAGGCGGCAGUGGGGAAUAUUGCACAAUGGGCGCAAGCCUGAUGCAGCAACGCCGCGUGAGGGAUGACGGCCUUCGGGUUGUAAACCUCUUUUAGCAGGGAAGAAGCGAAAGUGACGGUGCCUGCAGAAAAAGCACCGGCUAACUACGUGCCAGCAGCCGCAGUAA
Molecule: ribosomal RNA, 484 nt
Filed under: uncultured bacterium
Lineage: Bacteria
Description: partial 16S ribosomal RNA
Rfam family: Bacterial small subunit ribosomal RNA
Source: RNAcentral